Molecule: long non-coding RNA, 249 nt
Filed under: Elaeis guineensis (African oil palm)
Lineage: Eukaryota; Viridiplantae; Streptophyta; Magnoliopsida; Arecales; Arecaceae
Description: long non-coding RNA (EGUI_LNC013719)
Source: RNAcentral
UAUAUAAACAACCAGAGCCUUGAGGACCCAGGUGAGUCAGAUCAAAUCCCUCUCAGAAAAUCCGUUGCUGCUUCUUUGUUCUCUACUUUUCUGACUUGAGCGUCAGAAGAUCCUCGCUGGAGCCACAAUCUUCGGUUUGGGACUUAUUUUGCACAUCACUCCAGCACCGACAUCCCUGCACGAAGAUCAAGCGUCUGUCUUUCGACCUCAGCUAUCCAUCUUCCAACCUCGACCGAUUUAAGCAACAAC